This 461-nucleotide ribosomal RNA is filed under the name uncultured Methanotrichaceae archaeon. RNAcentral describes it as "bacterial SSU rRNA". It matches the Rfam family "Archaeal small subunit ribosomal RNA", at positions 566 to 1026 of the family's 1478-position model. Lineage: Archaea; Methanobacteriati; Methanobacteriota; Methanomicrobia; Methanotrichales; Methanotrichaceae. The record is from RNAcentral.
UCAGGCUUUCAGGAGAUACUGUCUGGCUCGAGGCCGGGAGAGGUGAGAGGUACUUCAGGGGUAGGGGUGAAAUCUUGUAAUCCUUGAAGGACCACCAGUGGCGAAGGCGUCUCACCAGAACGGACCUGACGGCAAGGGACGAAAGCUAGGGGCACGAACCGGAUUACAUACCCGGGUAGUCCUAGCCGUAAACGAUACUCGCUAGGUGUCGGCCACGGUGCGACCGUUGUCGGUGCCGUAAGGAAGCCGUGAAGCGAGCCGCCUGGGAAGUACGGCCGCAAGGCUGAAACUUAAAGGAAUUGGCGGGGGAGCACCACAACGGGUGGAGCUUGCGGUUUAAUUGGAUUCAACGCCGGAAAUCUUACCGGGACCGACAGCAAUAUGAAGGCCAGGCUGAACACUUUGCCGGAUUAACUGAAAGGUGGUGCAUGGCCGUCGUCAGUUCGGACUGUGAAACAUAA